Mytilus californianus (California mussel) is the source of this 1040-nucleotide long non-coding RNA. RefSeq lists it as uncharacterized. The transcript is spliced from 3 exons. NCBI's taxonomy places the organism in Eukaryota, Metazoa, Mollusca, Bivalvia, Mytilida, Mytilidae. The record is from RefSeq and is a predicted model, not a curated record.
AUGUUUUAGUCUGCUUUUAGAAAACUGGGAGUAUAAAUUAGAUUUUUUUUCAUGAAAUUUUUUUCAAAUAUAAUAAUCUGAAAAAUGCAAGUAGAAAUUUGGACAAAAUAUGCAUUUAAAUGUCUUACGUCUUUAAAGUUGUAGAACUUCCGCGAUACACUAAUAAUCGAGGAUUAUGCUGUGGCCAGUGGGGGAUUAUGUCAUAUCCAUAUAGGCGCGUGUUUUGUUAUCACAACCAGUAAACGAGGUCAUUCUGUUGCGUACUUUGGUCAAAGAAAGAGAAAGAUGGAGUCCCCUAGAAAUGAAAAUAAGCUGAAUGGAAUUUCGUUUUCAAGGAAGAAGAGUCCGAAGCUUACUUAUGCCGGAGAGUUCUGAUGAAUCACCAAAGAAAAGAAAAACUCAAAGUUCUAAUAGUGGCCUGGGUGCAGUGUAUUCGAAUUAUCAACAGUGCUCCUCAAAUAAAGAAAAUAAAAGAAAAAGAUUUUACUUUCUAUGAGUACCCACAGCAUCUUCAAGCAGAACAAUGGAUAUUGAUCAGACCAGACAGUCUGGAGAAUUUACCAUGAAUAGAAGUAACAAAAGUGACAGCAACACAUUCGAUUGGUUUAAUGGAUAUUUUGGACAGGAGUAGCAGACUGGUACAUUGAUUCCAAAAUCUUGAACAAACAACAACUGAACACAUUCUUGUCUCUUUUAAGUGGGAUAAUGUUAAUCUUUACAAAAUGCCAGCACAAUUGAAAUUAAUAUGGGAUAGUUGAAAGAAGAAAUUUCAAAAUGAUACAUAUUAUCACAAUGUUGAAUUUAGACAAUCUCUAUUUUUGUGAAACAGUUUUUUUUAAACUUUAAAUACUGUGAUGAUCUACAAAACAUUAUUAAAAGAUGAACAUGUAAGUCUCAAGUGUGAUCCAGUUUUUAACCGCUUUUCGCUUGAAAAAAAAUCAAGCUUUUUUAAAUUUAUGAAGUGACAACAAUUGUUUUUACUGGAUUUACAUUGAAUAAAUAAUAUUAUCCAGACAUUAAAAUAAAAAUGUUGAAAUUGA